UUGCAGGGUAUAGACCCGAAACCCGGUGAUCUAGCCAUGGGCAGGUUGAAGGUUGGGUAACACUAACUGGAGGACCGAACCGACUAAUGUUGAAAAAUUAGCGGAUGACCUGUGGCUGGGGGUGAAAGGCCAAUCAAACCGGGAGAUAGCUGGUUCUCCCCGAAAGCUAUUUAGGUAGCGCCUCGUGAAUUCAUCUCCGGGGGUAGAGCACUGUUUCGGCUAGGGGGCCAUCCCGGCUUACCAACCCGAUGCAAACUGCGAAUACCGGAGAAUGUUAUCACGGGAGACACACGGCGGGUGCUAACGUCCGUCGUGAAGAGGGAAACAACCCAGACCGCCAGCUAAGGUCCCAAAGUCAUGGUUAAGUGGGAAACGAUGUGGGAAGGCCCAGACAGCCAGGAUGUUGGCUUAGAAGCAGCCAUCAUUUAAAGAAAGCGUAAUAGCUCACUGGUCGAGUCGGCCUGCGCGGAAGAUGUAACGGGGCUAAACCAUGCACCGAAGCUGCGGCAGCGAACGUAUCACC
This 523-nucleotide ribosomal RNA is filed under the name Salmonella enterica. RNAcentral describes it as "partial 23S ribosomal RNA". It matches the Rfam family "Bacterial large subunit ribosomal RNA", at positions 700 to 1221 of the family's 2925-position model. RNAcentral also lists the same sequence under 1 other name. Lineage: Bacteria; Pseudomonadati; Pseudomonadota; Gammaproteobacteria; Enterobacterales; Enterobacteriaceae. The record is from RNAcentral.